AUUGAACGCUGGCGGCAGGCCUAACACAUGCAAGUCGAGCGGAUGAAGGGAGCUUGCUCCUGGAUUCAGCGGCGGACGGGUGAGUAAUGCCUAGGAAUCUGCCUGGUAGUGGGGGAUAACGUCCGGAAACGGGCGCUAAUACCGCAUACGUCCUGAGGGAGAAAGUGGGGGAUCUUCGGACCUCACGCUAUCAGAUGAGCCUAGGUCGGAUUAGCUAGUUGGUGGGGUAAAGGCCUACCAAGGCGACGAUCGGUAACUGGUCUGAGAGGAUGAUCAGUCACACUGGAACUGAGACAGGGUCCAGACUCCUACGGGAGGCAGCAGUGGGGAAUAUUGGACAAUGGGCGAAAGCCUGAUCCAGCCAUGCCGCGUGUGUGAAGAAGGUCUUCGGAUUGUAAAGCACUUUAAGUUGGGAGGAAGGGCAGUAAGUUAAUACCUUGCUGUUUUGACGUUACCAACAGAAUAAGCACCGGCUAACUUCGUG
RNAcentral lists this ribosomal RNA (484 nucleotides) under uncultured bacterium. RNAcentral's name for it is "partial 16S ribosomal RNA". It matches the Rfam family "Bacterial small subunit ribosomal RNA", at positions 30 to 507 of the family's 1533-position model. The record is from RNAcentral.